UCUGUUUACAUUUCAAUGCUGUUAAAAUAGUCACGUUAAAAAGAAGCAUUUCUAUUGAUUUUUUUUCCUGGAGGAAAAUUUAAUGGGUGUCUGGGAUUAGGCAAUUCUGACACACAGGCAUGUUUUAUAAGAUCUCUUCAUAUCGUGCCAUAUGCUCUCUUCUCCAGAAAUGUUUUGUUUAAAGUCAUGCUCUUCUGUGGUUAUUACUUUAGAGACUGAUCUUGUAAAUUAUCCACCAUGCAAGCGUGUUGGUAUUCCUCAGUUUCGGGCAGAGGAAGAGUGAGGUUUGUCCUCCGUUUGGUUUCAGUUAUGUUGAUGCUUAAUGUUUGUCUCCUGACUGGAGAGCCUGGGAGAUGACUUCCUUGUAGUCUAGGAGGUUGCACCUGUAUGUUAGUUUGUCCAUAAAGUUCUUUUGUUGUACAUUAAUGUAUUUCAGAAAGUACAAAUCCAGAUGGUGAUUUAGUUUCAACCAACCAGUUGAGCAUAAAGAGUCACAGUUACAGAGUACGCCACUGGUUGGUUGAAACAAAAUCCUGGUCUGGAUUUGUACUUUCUGGACCUGAAAUUUCCACCUCUGAUUUCAAGGUCCUUAUCCAGUCUGUAUCUGCAGUUCCAAAAUGAGAAUUAAGAAAAAUACCUGGUGUGCUUGUUAAAUAUGUUAAACUGAUUGUCAUGAGACGCAGUGUGUUGUGAAGCGUGUUAGACAUUUGAAUACUACAGUUUGCUGAAGCAUAAAAUUUUUGGACUGUAGGAACAGUGUAUCUGGUGGAAUCCUAAAAGAAGGAAGAACUGAUGAGCUGGGGUGGGAUUUGAACCAACAACCUUGGAAAUCGCUGUGUGGACACACUCCUUCGCCUUGGGCUGCUAGCGGAAAGGAGAGCAUGUUUCCUUGUGCCGGAUGGAGUUUGCUGCAGAUCACGGUCCUCCUCAGAAUUUUGUUACCAUUCUGCGAAAAGUUUGCAGAGUUCCGUUGGUUGGAUCAACUGCAAUCCCGCAUUCGUCAGCGGUACAAAAACCCAAGAAGUCUUGAAGUUGCUCUUGCGUGACAUGAUUUCCAAUAUUCUUCACUGCGACUCGAGCUAUAACUUCCUAGCUCGGCUUCCUGAUCAGGUCAAGCAUGUGCAUACAGCAGUAAAGGGGAAGGUAGGGGCCCGUAAAAGUGACUGGGGGAGAGUUAUGGGUUGGAGGCCAGCAGGAGUUGGAUCAAAUGGGGAAACUGAGUCACAAGAGAGGUCUUGUGACGAGCCAAUCCUGCGUGGAUGCAGGAUCUCACACAGAGCACAGUAUGUGCACAUACACACAGGCACAUAUGUGGACACCUUCUGAGCCAGGACCCCUUGCUAAUCACUGGUGACGCAAGCCCAGCCUCACACGAGUUGUAUUUAUUGUUUUAUAGCAUACAGCAG
Non-coding RNA from Paramormyrops kingsleyae, 1406 nucleotides. NCBI's taxonomy places the organism in Eukaryota, Metazoa, Chordata, Actinopteri, Osteoglossiformes, Mormyridae. The record is from RefSeq and is a predicted model, not a curated record.